Clarias gariepinus (North African catfish) is the source of this 1197-nucleotide long non-coding RNA. RefSeq lists it as uncharacterized. The record is from RefSeq and is a predicted model, not a curated record. NCBI's taxonomy places the organism in Eukaryota, Metazoa, Chordata, Actinopteri, Siluriformes, Clariidae. The transcript has 3 exons.
GCACAUUUGUUUCUCGGAGUCUUUCGCCACUACGGGAAAAUACAUCUUUUUACGCAGCUCAAAGCCGAAUGCCAUGUAGACGCUUUUGCCUCGUGAACUGGGCACCUUGUACACAGUCACUGCACCAUGGAGAGAUGUCUUGUUAGGAAGUUCAGGUCAGAGCGGAGAAUUAACCAUUAUACAGCACUUCUGAAGCAGAUGUAGGGCCCAACACCAGAUGUAGGGCCCAACACCAGCAACUUGGUGGAGCUGGAGCUUAAACUGCUGACCUUCCAAUCAGACAGCUGAACUUGUCAGCAGGGAACGACGAAGUGACGGAGCCGUUAAAUCGAAGUGAAGCAACUAAUCCACAUCGCGAGACGAGAAUCAGGAAAACAAAGCGAGGUCCACAACGUGAAAACUAUGAAACAUAACGCGAGAAUAUUGAGGCGAGAAAAUACACAAUGAUUCAGCAAUGAGACGAGCGCUGCUCUUCCUUAUAAGUCAGAAGAAAUCAGGUGUUCAGCCGAGGCGGUCCGGGGGAGUGUAAGACAGGAGAUGACAGCGCGGGAAAAUAUGACCGCGUGCUGAGAAGCAUGACAGCGUGGGAAAGGAAAUGUCAAGGGAUGAAAGCAGACUUUGAACGUGGUGUGUGCGUGAGUUCGUGAUAACACUAAUGGUAUUAUAUUGUGUGCUUUAUUGCACUACAGGACAGGACACAACUACAGAAAAAAAAAACAACAACAACAACAAAAAAAAACGAAUAUACAACAAUUUGACAUAAGGAGGCAUCAAGAUAGAUCAUUUCAAGAGUUAACAUGAACUACAUUAACCUAACAAGGAAAAUGUAAAUGUACUGUAUGUAGAACAUAAAAAAACAUAAUGUUAGACAUUACCAUUUUUUUUACCUUUUUUUUUUACCAUUGUUUAUUACCAUUUAUUCUAACUUCAUUCCACACAAAAAUGACAUAAAUCUAUACCGACUUUGUACAGCUGUUCCUAUUGUUCUAUAUUUCUUCAUAUAUUCUUCAUAUAUUUUCUAUACUGUGCAUUUUUGUUGUACAGUUAUUUUAUUUUAACUUUAAUUUUAUAUUUUAUUUUAUUCUUUCCCAGUUAAAUUUACCUUUUAUUUUAUCCUUUAUAUUUAUUUCCUAUUCAUACUCUUUUAUUUUAAGGUCACGAGCAGUUGUCUAAGCAUUUCACUGCAUAUUGUACUGU